Neofelis nebulosa (Clouded leopard) is the source of this 876-nucleotide long non-coding RNA. RefSeq lists it as uncharacterized. The transcript has 2 exons. The record is from RefSeq and is a predicted model, not a curated record. Lineage: Eukaryota; Metazoa; Chordata; Mammalia; Carnivora; Felidae.
AGGCUUCCGGAUGCAGUUGAGACUGAGCCCACGUCAGGAACAGGUGUUCGGUGCACGCUGGGAUCUGCGGGAAUCGGUGCCCGGCCCCACCUGCAGCACAAACAGAGAAAAGCCCCUGUUGAUGGCAGGAAGAUGCUGCUGUCACAUGUGUCCAUCACCUCACAUGGUGAUUCAUGAAGAGUUUCCAUGCUCAUCUACCUCUGACUUAUUGAAAACUUUAAAGAACCUUUAAAGAUCCGAGAAUGUCAGUCAAUUGUCCAGAGUCACCUAUAUGACAGAUCUGAAAAUCAAAGUGCCAUUAUUUGGUGUCAGGUCCAUGUUUCAGUUCAUUUAUGUUUAAUGAAGAGUAGUGAUCUUUUAUGUGGCGGUUCACAGUUUGUUUAUCCAUUCACCAACUGAUGCAUAUUUGGAUAAUUUUCAGCCAUGAACAUUUAUAUACAGGUUUCUAUGUGUGGACAUAUGUCUCCACUCUCUUGGGUGAAUACCAAGGAGUGAAUGACAUUGCUGGAUCUCAUAAGAAGUGUAUGUUUGGCAUAAUAAGGAGCUGUCAUACUUUUUCAAAGUGGCCGUACCAUUUUUCAUUUCCAUCAGCAAGAUGUGAGGGGUCUAGUUGCUCUGCAUCUUCAUCUGAAUUUAAUGAUGUCAGGUUUUUCUAUUUGAGCCAUCAUAUUGCUUUGUAAUGGUAUUACAUUUUAGUUUUAAUUUGAUUUUUCUAAUGUAUAAUAAUGAGUAUGUUUUUGUUUGUCAUCUGUUCCUUUUUGAUGAAGUGCCUAUUUGAUCUUUUCCUCAUCUUAAAAAGUUGUUUCUUACUGAUUUCAAGAGUUGUAUAUAUGCUACAAAAGUUUUUCCAAAGAUAAAUGAUUUGUAGAUACUUUC